UGGCUCACCAAGGCUACGAUGGGUAGGGGUUCUAAGUGGAAGGUCCCCCACACUGGCACUGAGAUACGGGCCAGACUCCUACGGGAGGCAGCAGUAGGGAAUAUUGAUCAAUGGGCGCAAGCCUGAACCAGCCAUGCCGCGUGCAGGAUGAAGGCUCUCUGAGUUGUAAACUGCUUUUGUACAGGAGCAAAAAAACCCCUGAGGGGGUUCUUGAGAGUACUGUAAGAAUAAGCACCGGCUAAUUCCGUGCCAGCAGCCGCGGUAAUACGGGAGGUGCAAGCGUUAUCCGGUUUUAUUGGGUUUAAAGGGUGCGUAGGCGGCUUAUUAAGUCAGUUGUGAAAUCCUAGUGCUUAACGCUAGAACUGCGAUUGAUACUAUCAGGCUUGAGU
This 389-nucleotide ribosomal RNA is filed under the name Cardinium endosymbiont of Dermanyssus gallinae. RNAcentral's name for it is "bacterial SSU rRNA". It matches the Rfam family "Bacterial small subunit ribosomal RNA", at positions 261 to 647 of the family's 1533-position model. Lineage: Bacteria; Pseudomonadati; Bacteroidota; Cytophagia; Cytophagales; Amoebophilaceae. The record is from RNAcentral.